Molecule: ribosomal RNA, 497 nt
Filed under: uncultured bacterium
Lineage: Bacteria
Description: partial 16S ribosomal RNA
Rfam family: Bacterial small subunit ribosomal RNA
Source: RNAcentral
GAUGAACGCUGGCGGCGUGCCUAAUACAUGCAAGUCGAGCGAACAGACGCUGCUCUUGCUCCUCUGACGUUAGCGGCGGACGGGUGAGUAACACGUGUAUAACCUACCUAUAUUACUGGUAUCACUUCGGGAAACCGGAUCUAAUACCGUAUAAUCUAUUGCACCGCAUUGUUCAAUAGUGAAAUUCGGUUUUUCUGUCACUUAUCGCUGGAUCCGCGCCGCAUUAGCUAGUUGGUAAGGUAACGGCUUACCAAGGCAACGAUGCGUAGCCGACCGGAGAGGGUGAUAGGCGACACUGGAACUGAGACACGGACAAGACUACUAAGGGAGGCAGCAGUAGGGAAACGUCCGCAAUGGGCGAAAGCAUGACGGAGCAACGCCGCGUGAGUGAUGAAGGUCUUCGGAUCGUAAAACUCUGUUAUUAGGGAAGAACAAAUGUGGAAGUAAAUAUGCACGUCUUGACGGUACCUAAUCAGAAAGCAACGGCUAACUACGUG